This 346-nucleotide long non-coding RNA is filed under the name Gallus gallus (chicken). Lineage: Eukaryota; Metazoa; Chordata; Aves; Galliformes; Phasianidae. The record is from RNAcentral.
GCCAUUCUUUCCUGACCCAGAAAGGGAAACAACUGGAUAAACUGCAAAAGGCAUCUCUUCAGGGUGUAUCAGUUCACUUAAGUUUCAGCUUCUCUCUGCCCUUCGUAACAUCUGGCUUUCAACACUGCACUUCCAAUACUCCAUCUGCUAUUGCAAGACUGAUAUCAGCAGCUGGACCUGCCUUUCCUGACAGUAUUCCCCAUGAAACAAGGCUGCCAUCAGCUGCAGCACCAGAACACUUGGAAUCACUUGAACCUCUUUCAUGCAGAAUUUUGCUGGGACAACCCAAAGCUUGCCAAAAGAGAAGGGAGUUGCUGCUAAGUGGCUGGCAGCAAAUUAUUCAGCA